CUAAGGAGAAAGUUCCUUCGGGAACAAGUAAACUGGCGAACGGGUGAGUAACGCGUAGGUAACCUACCCUUAAGUCUGGGAUAACCCACCGAAAGGUGGACUAAUACCGGAUAAUAUNCCGCCUCAUAAGGGGUCGGGAUCAAAGAUGGCUUCGGCUAUCACUUAUGGAUGGGCCUGCGUCUGAUUAGUUUGUUGGUGAGGUAAUGGCUCACCAAGGCAGUGAUCAGUAGCUGGUCUGAGAGGGCGAUCAGCCACAUUGGGACUGAGAUACGGCCCAGACUCCUACGGGAGGCAGCAGUGGGGAAUUUUGCGCAAUGAGCGAAAGCUUGACGCAGCAACGCCGCGUGAUCGAAGAAGCUCUGCGGAGUGUAAAGAUCUGUCAUAGGGGAAGAAAAAUUCCGUUAUUAACACCAUCGGAAAGUGACGGUACCCUAUAAGAAAGCCCCGGCUAACUUCGUGCCAGCAGCCGCGGUAAUACGAGGGGGGCAAGCGUUGUCCGGAUUUAUUGGGCGUAAAGAGUUCGUAGGCGGAUUAGUCAGUCGAAAUUGAAAUCCCACGGCUUAACCGUGGACCCGGUUUCGAUACUGCUAAUCUUGAGUGAGACAGAGGUAAGCGGAAUUCCUGGUGUAGCGGUGAAAUGCGUAGAUAUCAGGAGGAACACCAAAGGCGAAGGCAGCUUACUGGGUCUAUACUGACGCUGAGGAACGAAAGCGUGGGGAGCAAACAGGAUUAGAGACCCUGGUAGUCCACGCCGUAAACGAUGAGUACUUGGUGGUGGAGGAUUCGACCCCUUCACUGUCGGAGCUAACGCGUUAAGUA
This 819-nucleotide ribosomal RNA is filed under the name uncultured bacterium. RNAcentral describes it as "bacterial SSU rRNA". It matches the Rfam family "Bacterial small subunit ribosomal RNA", at positions 63 to 866 of the family's 1533-position model. The record is from RNAcentral.